GAUAGAGUAAUUUUUAACGGCCAUGAACCGUCGUGGAGAAAGCGGGAGUUACGAUAUUAACUGCUCUCCAUAAAUACUUUCCAUUGCGUAAAAUGCAAUGCCUCUUGUCGUAGGGGAACAAGCAAGAAUUAAUUUGGUGAAUUAAACACUCAUUAAGGAUCAAGAAGAUUGUGCUGGAAAAUGUUAGCAAGACUCAACUUGAGAUCAUACUACAUGAACCGCAAAAGGUAUUUUUAACUAAUUACAAAGUUGGGUGUAGUAGGUGGGUUUGCUUUUUGUACUAUGAGUCCAGCUCCCUAAGAUCUUAAUUCUUGUGCGAUCAAACUGACACUCGUCACCCCUCAUCACUAGAUCAUCCAAUGUAAUGUCAUUUUGGAGGAGUUGGAGCUGUGGGUACACUAGAAGUCAUUGGGUGAGCUAUUUGUUAUUACCUUGGACUAAAAACAUUGGCCUAAAUCGUUUUAUUUUACCUUUACCGAUUCGUAUCAAGAUCGAAGUCAUACGGACUGUCCAAUUAAGAGGAAGGUGAUAUGCCAUCACAUAUUCACAUUGAUGAUUGUGUUAGAAAGUGGAAAAAUAAAAGUGAUAUAAUGGAAUGGUUCAUUGAUUGAGGGGUACUGUUACACAUAUAUAGAAGCCCAAACAUGAAGGUAUCCGUUCGGGAAGGACAUGCCCCUUCCCGAAUAGCCCCUUCGGUGACUCGUCACUAGCAGUUGCUAAUGACAUCAUUAACUAAUAAUUAAAUAAUUAGAGUAAUUGAUCACUAAUAACUGUGUUUCAACACACUCCCCCUUGAUCAAUUGCUUCUUAUA
RNAcentral lists this long non-coding RNA (812 nucleotides) under Setaria viridis. RNAcentral describes it as "long non-coding RNA (SVIR_LNC011430)". Lineage: Eukaryota; Viridiplantae; Streptophyta; Magnoliopsida; Poales; Poaceae. The record is from RNAcentral.